ACAUGUCCAAAACUACAUGUCUUUCAUAUGGAAUCAAUUCUUCUUGAAUUGUAUCUCUUCCAUUUGGCCAAUAGUUUUGUUUGUAUUCGACAAACAUCAGAUCCUCAUCGAUAUUUAGCGCUAUCAUAGAUGUCGUCGACAAUCAUUUAUAUCGGUUUCAGUCAAUUUUCAUAAAGACAUAACAUGGAGAUCUCUUCAUUCAU
Molecule: long non-coding RNA, 203 nt
Filed under: Nicotiana benthamiana
Lineage: Eukaryota; Viridiplantae; Streptophyta; Magnoliopsida; Solanales; Solanaceae
Description: long non-coding RNA (NBEN_LNC028334)
Source: RNAcentral